ACAGAUGCACCAGUGAGACAGAGCGGGAACGUAUCAAGAAGGCAGGCGGAACGGUCACGUGUCACAAGGGCCAGUUUCGGCUGAACGGAGCCCUGAGUGUAUCAAGAUCUCUAGGAGACACAGAGUACCGACCUGGCCUGACUGCAGUGCCUGAGGUGACACACACCCAGCUCACCGGGACAGAGGAGUACCUGGUGCUCGGAUCUGACGGCUUCUUCGAUCAACUGUCACUGGAAUCCAUCCGACACUCCGUCUAUCUCAGCUACAUGGCUGUAUGUAUCAUCCACAACGUAUGGUUAUUGUGAUAGAAUCUGUACCUGUCUGGUGGCAACAACUCAAAGGAGACACAAUGGCUGCUUGGACAACGUUGCCAACGACCUGUUCAUACGCGCAAAGAAUGCCGGUGCCAGCGACAACAUCACGAUCAUCACGAUCUUCUUCACGGACCAGCUGUCGCGCCCGUACAAGUCGGAGAACGAGCUGGGCAGACUCAGCCGGUUGUCGCAUUUCGCGCAGUGGGAGGAUGAGGAAGACGAAAGCAGCGGAAGUGACAGUGAGGACAGCGAGAUCGACUUCUUGAUCCAGACCAGCGACGAGCCCUUGAUCGACCUCCUCAGCCCUGUUGGCGAAAGCUCGCACCUUGAUGUCGUAUCCCCUCCUCUGUUUGUGCCUGACGCCGCUUCAGACACCUCCGUGGAAACAAGUACCGG
Long non-coding RNA from Branchiostoma belcheri (Belcher's lancelet), 710 nucleotides. RefSeq lists it as uncharacterized. The record is from RefSeq and is a predicted model, not a curated record. The transcript has 4 exons. NCBI's taxonomy places the organism in Eukaryota, Metazoa, Chordata, Leptocardii, Amphioxiformes, Branchiostomatidae.